Molecule: ribosomal RNA, 253 nt
Filed under: uncultured bacterium
Lineage: Bacteria
Description: partial 16S ribosomal RNA
Rfam family: Bacterial small subunit ribosomal RNA
Source: RNAcentral
UACGAAGGGGGCUAGCGUUGCUCGGAAUCACUGGGCGUAAAGGGUGCGUAGGCGGGUCUUUAAGUCAGGGGUGAAAUCCUGGAGCUCAACUCCAGAACUGCCUUUGAUACUGAGGAUCUUGAGUUCGGGAGAGGCGAGUGGAACUGCGAGUGUAGAGGUGAAAUUCGUAGAUAUUCGCAAGAACACCAGUGGCGAAGGCGACUCACUGGACAUGUAUUGACGCUGAGGUGCGAAAGCGUGGGGAGCAAACAGG